This 253-nucleotide ribosomal RNA is filed under the name uncultured bacterium. RNAcentral describes it as "partial 16S ribosomal RNA". It matches the Rfam family "Bacterial small subunit ribosomal RNA", at positions 524 to 776 of the family's 1533-position model. The record is from RNAcentral.
UACGGAGGGGGCUAGCGUUGUUCGGAAUUACUGGGCGUAAAGCGCACGUAGGCGGAUCGGACAGUCGGGGGUGAAAUCCCGGGGCUCAACCCCGGAACGGCCUCCGAAACUCCCGGUCUGGAGGAUGAGAGAGGCGAGUGGAAUUCCGAGUGUAGAGGUGAAAUUCGUAGAUAUUCGGAGGAACACCAGUGGCGAAGGCGGCUCGCUGGCUCAUUUCUGACGCUGAGGUGCGAAAGCGUGGGGAGCAAACAGG